CACGUAGUUAGCCGGGGCUUCUUAGUCAGGUACUGUCACUUUCUUCCCUGCUGAUAGAGCGUUUACAUACCGAGAUACUUCAUCGCUCACGCGGCGUCGCUGCAUCAGGGUUUCCCCCAUUGUGCAAUAUUCCCCACUGCUGCCUCCCGCAGGAGUCUGGGCCGUGUCUCAGUCCCAAUGUGGCCGGCCGCCCUCUCAGGCCGGCUACUGAUCGUCGCCUUGGUGGGCCGUUACCCCGCCAACGAGCUAAUCAGACGCGGGCCCAUCCCAUACCACCGGAGUUUUUCCCCAGGAAGCUAUGCAGGCCUCCGUGGGCGUAGUGCGGUAUUAGCACGCCGUUUCCGGCUUGUUACUCCCCCGGGUAUCGGGGCAGGUUCGCCCACGCGUUACUCACCCGUCCGCCACUCAGACACGC
This 415-nucleotide ribosomal RNA is filed under the name uncultured Lachnospiraceae bacterium. Its description in RNAcentral is "partial 16S ribosomal RNA". Lineage: Bacteria; Bacillati; Bacillota; Clostridia; Lachnospirales; Lachnospiraceae. The record is from RNAcentral.